RNAcentral lists this ribosomal RNA (430 nucleotides) under Verrucomicrobiota bacterium. RNAcentral describes it as "Verrucomicrobia bacterium partial 16S ribosomal RNA". It matches the Rfam family "Bacterial small subunit ribosomal RNA", at positions 355 to 776 of the family's 1533-position model. Lineage: Bacteria; Pseudomonadati; Verrucomicrobiota. The record is from RNAcentral.
UAGGGAAUCUUCGGCAAUGGGGGGAACCCUGACCGAGCAACGCCGCGUGAGUGAAGAAGGUUUUCGGAUCGUAAAGCUCUGUUGUUAAGGAAGAACGAGUGUGAGAAUGGAAAGUUCAUGCUGUGACGGUACUUAACCAGAAAGCCACGGCUAACUACGUGCCAGCAGCCGCGGUAAUACGUAGGUGGCAAGCGUUGUCCGGAAUUAUUGGGCGUAAAGCGCGCGCAGGUGGUUUAGAAAGUCUGAUGUGAAAGCCCACGGCUCAACCGUGGAGGGUCAUUGGAAACUAAUAAACUUGAGUGCAGGAGAGAAAAGUGGAAUUCCUAGUGUAGCGGUGAAAUGCGUAGAGAUUAGGAGGAACACCGGUGGCGAAAGCGGCUUUUUGGCCUGCAACUGACACUGAGGCGCGAAAGCGUGGGGAGCAAACAGG